UACGUGGGGGGCAAGCGUUGUCCGGAUUCAUUGGGCGUAAAGAGCGUGUAGGCGGCCAGGUAGGUCGGUUGUGAAAACUGGAGGCUCAACCUUCAGAGGUCGACCGAAACCAUCUGGCUAGAGUCCGGGAGAGGAGAGUGGAAUUCCUGGUGUAGCGGUGAAAUGCGCAGAUAUCAGGAAGAACACCCGUGGCGAAAGCGGCUCUCUGGAACGGUACUGACGCUGAGACGCGAAAGCGUGGGGAGCGAACAGGAUAGAUACCCA
Molecule: ribosomal RNA, 264 nt
Filed under: uncultured bacterium
Lineage: Bacteria
Description: partial 16S ribosomal RNA
Rfam family: Bacterial small subunit ribosomal RNA
Source: RNAcentral